GUGGGUACAGCUCAGUGGAAGAGCACAUGCUUAGCAUGCAUGAGGUACUGGGUUCAAUCCCCAGUACCUCUA
RNAcentral lists this transfer RNA (72 nucleotides) under Camelus bactrianus (Bactrian camel). It matches the Rfam family "tRNA". From Rfam's summary of the family: Transfer RNA (tRNA) molecules are approximately 80 nucleotides in length. Their secondary structure includes four short double-helical elements and three loops (D, anti-codon, and T loops). RNAcentral also lists the same sequence under 2 other names. The record is from Rfam by way of RNAcentral. Lineage: Eukaryota; Metazoa; Chordata; Mammalia; Artiodactyla; Camelidae.